UUUUAUAUAUAAUCUUUCUGAUUUUUUUUUUCCCUCUUUCCUUCAUAUCCAACAUACAGGGAAUUACAGGAGGUUUUUGCUUUUCUCAUUUAUAUUUUGGGCAUUAUUCAACGUUGGGAUAUUGGGGUUUUUCCCAUUCUUUUUGAUGACCAUGUGAGGUUCCACUGUUCACUGUCUGAAUAUGCCAUUAUUUCUUUUCCUUUUUUUUUUUUUUUAAAGAUUUUAUUUACUUAUUUGACAGAGAGACAGCGAGAGAAGGAACACAAGCAGGGGGAGUGAGAGAGGGAGAAGCAGGCUCUCUGCUGAGCAGGGAGCCCUAUGAGUGUCUUGAUCCCAGGACCCUGGGGAUCAUGACCUGAGCCUAAGGAAGACACUUAACGACCGAGCCACCCAGGUGCUCCUAUGCCAUCAUUUCUUAUUUAAAUCCCCUAUUAAAUCCAUAGCGUGUCCACAGAGAUGGACCUCCUUGCAUAUAUGUCAUGUAAUCGUUGUGUCAAAGGGUAUAUGUAUUUCAAAUUUUUAUAGACAUUGCGAAAAUGUAUGUGCAGAGAGUGUUUGCAGGGAAAGAACUCUAAUCCAGCCUCUUCUUCCUCCAUCCCCAGAUUUCAAGUCCUCAGCAAGAUGAGAAGUGUGUGUGGGGGCAACAGACAUUAUAUAGUGCCCUUGCUUUGGGGGAGGUAAGAAAAUCUCCAGCCACUUGGCAGAAGAUUUGCGAGCAUGGGAAGGAGCUUGGGCUGACUUUCCUGGUCUGGGAAUUGAACUGCUUGGGGGCUGCCUGGCUGACGGUGGACGUGGGCAGAUGGUGAGGACUCCCUAAGCACCCAGCUUCUCACAGACGUCAGGCAGAGUGGGCGAAACAUCUCCGGAAAUAAAUCCCAGCAACUCAGGGAGGGAGCCAGGCUGAGACACGGAAUGCAUGUUCCAAAAGGAACAUGGAGAGGACCUCUUCAGUCUGAGGAAGGGCAACUGAGACUCUGGACUUUCCCCAGGGUGCCCCCCACUCUUCUAGCGAGGUCCCCCUCCCCCUCCAGCUGUUCUGGAGCAUGGACUCCUGGAACAGGAGAUGGGGAGCAAGUCCUGAAGUCUUAGAUACCUCGGCCACUCUGGGCUGUGUGCGGUAACAUGCCUCUCUGUUCAUUCAGGCCCCUGUGCUAAUCUUGGGUCCCUGCCCCUGCAGAAUGGGGUGGGGAAGGCAGGAGGGCUUAUCUCUCCAACCUCCUACCCCCUCCUUAUGAAAUCUGGUGAGUAGUUUGGUGGAGUUGUGCUAGGAUGACAGCUGGGUUUUAAAGAUUGCUGAGAGUGAGGUUUUAUGCUUUCAACUGUGUUUGUUUUUGCAAGAUUAUCCAUUGCCUUCCAUUCCAGAUGCUGACUCUUAUCCUUAGGGAGUGAGAAGGCAGAACUGCUUACUCACUUUCUGGAACUCUCCCAGGCUAACAGGGGAGGGACAGAGCCACCGGUCUGACCAGGCAGCACCUCAGAAACAACCUCACAAUCAGCCUCAGUUUACCCAUCUGUAAAGUGAGGGGGGUCUUUUAACAUCUCUUUCAUGAGGAGCCCCGAUACCUGGAAUCCACACAAAAAUCCGGAGGCGUCCCUAUCCGGUGGUUUCUGAUCUUUCACCGGAUGGCUGUGACAGUAGCAGGAGAGUUGACUGUGACGGAGUUUGCAUCACUCUCUUGCCCUCCCCUGCUGCCUUCCUCUGCCCAACCCUACCAGCUCCCUCAGCCUCCCCUCCCCAUGCAAAGGUCCUGGAACAGGGUAGAUGAUGGGAAGAUGCCAGCCAGCCAGGGGUCUGGAUAAUCCACAAACUGGAUUAUCUGCCCCUGGGUUUGCAUGUACAUAAGCAGGUGGCCUAGAUGCAGACAGGAUGUACUGGGAUGAGCCAAGGGGAUAAGGUUAACACCUUGUGUGUGACUCUUGUGUGUGUGUGUGUGUGUGUGUGCGUGUGUGUGUGUGUGUGUAAGUGGGGGAGGGGGCAGUUAUACAAUAAAAACCCCACCCACUUAUCUCCCAUUCUGAGCAUUAAGCCAAUCAAUCCCUCCUUUCAAUCAAGCA
Molecule: long non-coding RNA, 2055 nt
Organism: Mustela lutreola (European mink)
Lineage: Eukaryota; Metazoa; Chordata; Mammalia; Carnivora; Mustelidae
Exons: 3
Source: RefSeq, a predicted model, not a curated record